UACGUAUGGUGCAAGCGUUAUCCGGAUUUACUGGGUGUAAAGGGAGCGCAGGCGGUGCGGCAAGUCUGAUGCGAAAGCCCGGGGCUCAACCCCGGUACUGCAUUGGAAACUGUCGUACUAGAGUGUCGGAGGGGUAAGUGGAAUUCCUAGUGUAGCGGUGAAAUGCGUAGAUAUUAGGAGGAACACCAGUGGCGAAGGCGGCUUACUGGACGAUAACUGACGCUGAGGCUCGAAAGCGUGGGGAGCAAACAGG
RNAcentral lists this ribosomal RNA (253 nucleotides) under Roseburia faecis M72/1. RNAcentral describes it as "partial 16S ribosomal RNA". It matches the Rfam family "Bacterial small subunit ribosomal RNA", at positions 524 to 776 of the family's 1533-position model. Lineage: Bacteria; Bacillati; Bacillota; Clostridia; Lachnospirales; Lachnospiraceae. The record is from RNAcentral.